AAGACUAUACUUCACAGGAUCAUUUCUGUAGUCAGUCUUCUUUAUUUUUCAUUGCAAAAUGAAAAAUUUCGCGCCCGCGAUGAGGAGGUAUAUCGUUUUAUCUGUAGCGUGAGGUUUUGAACUUUGUCUUUUAAGUUUGACUUUGGGACAAUGUUUCAUCGAUGAUCGCUCGGUUAUAACGGAUAAAACGACUUCUGAGUGGA
Molecule: small nucleolar RNA, 203 nt
Filed under: Lucilia cuprina (Australian sheep blowfly)
Lineage: Eukaryota; Metazoa; Arthropoda; Insecta; Diptera; Calliphoridae
Description: small nucleolar RNA U3
Rfam family: Small nucleolar RNA U3
About the family: Small nucleolar RNAs (snoRNAs) are involved in the processing and modification of rRNA in the nucleolus. There are two main classes of snoRNAs: the box C/D class, and the box H/ACA class. U3 snoRNA is a member of the box C/D class.
Source: Rfam by way of RNAcentral